UGAGGAAUAUUGGUCAAUGGACGAGAGUCUGAACCAGCCAAGUAGCGUGAAGGAUGAAGGUCCUACGGAUUGUAAACUUCUUUUAUAAGGGAAUAAACCCUUCCACGUGUGGGAGCUUGUAUGUACCUUAUGAAUAAGCAUCGGCUAACUCCGUGCCAGCAGCCGCGGUAAUACGGAGGAUGCGAGCGUUAUCCGGAUUUAUUGGGUUUAAAGGGAGCGCAGACGGGUCGUUAAGUCAGCUGUGAAAGUUUGGGGCUCAACCUUAAAAUUGCAGUUGAUACUGGCGUCCUUGAGUGCGGUUGAGGUGUGCGGAAUUCGUGGUGUAGCGGUGAAAUGCUUAGAUAUCACGAAGAACUCCGAUUGCGAAGGCAGCACACUAAUCCGUAACUGACGUUCAUGCUCGAAAGUGUGGGUAUCAAACAGG
RNAcentral lists this ribosomal RNA (424 nucleotides) under uncultured bacterium. RNAcentral describes it as "bacterial SSU rRNA". It matches the Rfam family "Bacterial small subunit ribosomal RNA", at positions 355 to 776 of the family's 1533-position model. The record is from RNAcentral.